This 1368-nucleotide unclassified non-coding RNA is filed under the name Hevea brasiliensis (rubber tree). Lineage: Eukaryota; Viridiplantae; Streptophyta; Magnoliopsida; Malpighiales; Euphorbiaceae. The record is from RNAcentral.
CUUGAUUUCCAAAAACUUGAUGAGUCCUUCUAGAGAAGUCAUAGGAUCUGUGUUCUUCAUCAGUUCCCCUGCAACAUCAGCAGGGCUAACUUCAACUUCUUUAAUAAGCUCUUCAACACAACUAAAGAGAUCAUGCUCCCAUAGAUCCAAGUAAUUGGCUGCUAGCUGCUUGAAGGUGGAGAAUGUGCAGUAAGAUAGGUAUAUGUGCAUAUCCAUACGACCUGCUCUUAGCAAGGCAGGAUCAAUGCGAUCUUUGUAGUUGGUAGUGAAAAUUAUAAUCCUUUCAUCUCCACAGCAGGACAGUAGGCCAUCAAUGGCGUUUAGAAGGCCAGAGAGUGUUACCUGAGGCCGAGAAAUUUGGUUAUUAUUAUCUGGUUGAUGAUCUCCUGCUUGACGGUUUUGCAGCAUGAUGGAGCAGUCGAUAUCCUCCAGCACAAGAAUUGAACGAUUGGACAUAUGAAGCAACAAAUACUCAAGAGAAGAGUCAGAGUUAACAGCAGACAGGUUCAAGUUAUAAAUAUCAAAGUUAAGAAAAUUGGCCAUGGCAGCUAUCAGGCUUGAUUUCCCAGUUCCUGGAGGACCAUAUAAUAAGUAACCUCGCUUCCAUACUUUACCAAUCUUCUUGUAAUACUCCUUGCCCCGAAUGAAGCUAUUAAGAUCUUCAACCACUUUCUGCUUGAGGUCUCCAUCCAUGGCUAGCGUUUCAAAUGUCAUGGGAUGAUCCAGGUUGAUCCCUUUAGAGCUCCAGCCGUCUCUCCCUCCACGAGUAGUGAAAAACUUCACAACCCUAUUUUGAUCCUUAAUUUUCUUCGCCAUUUCAAGAAUGUAAGGCAGAUACUUGUUCUUGACCAUAUCAAUAUAUCGCUUGUGAAACCGAAGCUCAUACCAUCUCAACUCAUAAUGAAGUGCGGAGUUGAAAUCAGUAUAGUAUGCCCACUUCAUGGGAACACCAUGAAAAUCAUCAACAAUCUCUGAGUUCCUGUCCAGACCAUAAGUUAGAACCUUCAUGCUCUCGUUCUUCCCAACAGUGAGACGUCGAGGACCAGAGGCAGAGGAAGUACAGGAAGCAUUACUGCCAAGAUAUGUAACUAAUGCAUUGAAGAGAUGGUUUGUUGAUCCUUCGUGUGAUUCUUUAACAACUACGGUAUGCUCCGACGAGAAACGGCGACUGAAUUCCAACAAGUAACUUCGCAGUUCUUGAGGAACGAACUCAUUGAAUGAACUACGAAGAAUCGCAAUUGAAGCUAACACAGAUAAACUUGAUCCCAUAGCUCUUGAUCUUGAUCUUCUCCACUAGAGAACUUGGCAAAUCUCUAUUAUUAUUAAUUUCAAAUAGUGCAUCGAGUUAUGGAACGAUGAGGAGGCAAG